ACUGGUUGACUCAUGGGCAUUUUAUUGUACUUAAACUAGUACUAUGCUCAAUGAUAGUCUUUUGUGUUUUUAGAUUAUCUGGCAAAGAGAUUUGCAGAGUGUCGGGUGACCGGCAAAGAGAUCUGCAAAGUGUCAGUUGAAGACGACGAGAGGGGUCGCAGACGUAGCAACGACUGGUGUAUAACAUGAAGGAGAUCAUCAUUUGGCAAAGUUCUGGCAAAGAGAUUUGCAGAGUGUCGGGUGACCGGCAAAGAGAUCUGCAAAGUGUCAGUUGAAGACGACAGGAGGGGUCGCAGAGGAAUUAGUGACUGGAGAAUAGCAUGCAGGAGUGGGUGAUCCCUGAGAAGCUGCCCUGGGAGGAGAGCUGCGGACACAUGCUCCAAAUGUUGGGACAUAUGCAUUACCUAUUAGGAGAUGCGGUAAAGAUGCAGGCUGUUGGGUUUACAGCAGUCAGAAUACUGACACUGGGAUCCCGACACUCUUCAGAAGCCCGCUGUUGGAACUCCAAAUGGGCAAGUAUACCAACGCCCGUAUCCCCACGAUCGUAGGUU
This is a long non-coding RNA of Pseudophryne corroboree (corroboree frog), 551 nucleotides long. RefSeq lists it as uncharacterized. Lineage: Eukaryota; Metazoa; Chordata; Amphibia; Anura; Myobatrachidae. The record is from RefSeq and is a predicted model, not a curated record. The transcript has 3 exons.